GUUCUUGACUUUUACAUUGUUUAACUGCCUGUAAUCAAUCAUAUCCAAAGGGAACCAUUCUUUUUGCGCACAAACAACAUCGGUGCACCCCACGAAGAAAUGAUAGGAUGAAUAAAUCCCUUAUUAAGAAGAUCCUAAGUUGCUCCGUGAGUUCCUUCAACUCAAUUGAAGCCAUUCUAUACGGAGGAAUAGAUAUUGGAUGAGUGCUUGGAAGCAAAUCAAUACCAAA
This 229-nucleotide long non-coding RNA is filed under the name Capsicum annuum. Its description in RNAcentral is "long non-coding RNA (CANN_LNC019199)". The record is from RNAcentral. Lineage: Eukaryota; Viridiplantae; Streptophyta; Magnoliopsida; Solanales; Solanaceae.